AUGAACGCUAGCGACAGGCCUAACACAUGCAAGUCGAGGGGCAGCACAAGGAGCAAUCUGAGGUGGCGACCGGCGCACGGGUGAGUAACACGUAUGCAACCUGCCUGUAAGCGGGGAAUAACCCGUUGAAAGACGGACUAAUACCGCAUAAUACUAAAUUACUGCAUGGUAAUUUAUUUAAACAUUUAUGGCUUACAGAUGGGCAUGCGCAUGAUUAGCUAGUUGGAGGGGUAACGGCUCCCCAAGGCAACGAUCAUUAGGGGUUCUGAGAGGAAGGUCCCCACACUGGUACUGAGACACGGACCAGACUCCUACGGGAGGCAGCAGUGAGGAAUAUUGGUCAAUGGACGAGAGUCUGAACCAGCCAAGUCGCGUGCAGGAAGAAUGUCCUAAUGGAUUGUAAACUGCUUUUGCAGGGGAAUAAAGUGCAUCACGUGUGAUGUUUUGUAUGUACUCUGCGAAUAAGGAUCGGCUAACUCCGUGCCAGCAGCUGC
This 494-nucleotide ribosomal RNA is filed under the name uncultured bacterium. Its description in RNAcentral is "bacterial SSU rRNA". It matches the Rfam family "Bacterial small subunit ribosomal RNA", at positions 29 to 518 of the family's 1533-position model. The record is from RNAcentral.